CGUGCUUACCAUGCAAGUCAAGGAGAAAGAGAAUCUUCGGAAUCUCCGGUAAACUGGCGCAAGGGUGAGUAACGCGUAGGCAACCUGCCCUGCAGUGGGGAAUAACAUGGGGAAACCUGUGCUAAUACCGCAUGAUAUCCCGAUUACACAUGUAAACGGGAUCAAAGAUUUAUCGCUGUGGGAUGGGCCUGCGUUCUAUUAGCUUGUUGGUAGGGUGAUGGCCUACCAAGGCUACGAUGGAUAGCUGGUCUGAGAGGAUGAUCAGCCACACUGGCACUGAGACACGGGCCAGACUCCUACGGGAGGCAGCAGUGAGGAAUAUUGGGCAAUGGGCGAAAGCCUGACCCAGCAACGCCGCGUGGGUGAUGAAGCUCUGAGGAGUGUAAAACCCUGUUAGGAGGGAAGAAACUUCCGAUUUAUCGGAACUGACGGUACCUCCAGAGAAAGCUCCGGCUAACUCCGUGCCAGCAGCCGCGGUAACACGGGGGGAGCAAGCGUUGUCCGGAUUUACUGGGCG
RNAcentral lists this ribosomal RNA (517 nucleotides) under uncultured bacterium. Its description in RNAcentral is "bacterial SSU rRNA". It matches the Rfam family "Bacterial small subunit ribosomal RNA", at positions 43 to 560 of the family's 1533-position model. The record is from RNAcentral.